GGUCAAUGGACGAAAGCCUGAACCAGCCAAGUAGCGUGCAGGAAGACGGCCCUAUGGGUUGUAAACUGCUUUUAUACGGGGAUAAAGUGAGGUACCGUGUACCUUUUUGCAUGUACCGGAUGAAUAAGGACCGGCUAAUUCCGUG
Molecule: ribosomal RNA, 145 nt
Filed under: uncultured bacterium
Lineage: Bacteria
Description: partial 16S ribosomal RNA
Rfam family: Bacterial small subunit ribosomal RNA
Source: RNAcentral